Molecule: long non-coding RNA, 1105 nt
Organism: Triticum urartu
Lineage: Eukaryota; Viridiplantae; Streptophyta; Magnoliopsida; Poales; Poaceae
Source: RefSeq, a predicted model, not a curated record
CCUGCCACCCUCCUCCUCUCCCACGUCAAGCUGACCCGCGUUGCUUCUCCGCGCCACCAUCCCAGCUGGAAUUCACUCCCCCACCAUCCCGCUCCGGUUUCCGCGACAAGCGAGCGAGUAAAACCGAGGCGUGCGUGCGGCCUCUGUCGCCGGCGAGGCCAGGCGGCGCCUGGAAAUUACCCCGCUGCCCUCGCCCACGCGCUGGCGCAGUGCGGUGGGGCGUCCCGACGUCCCGUCGUCACGUCGAGGGGGCAGGAGCGUAAAAUCACGGCGCCGCGCUCGCGCGGGAAAUCCGGAAGCGGAGUGGCGUGGUACUGCGGCCCAGGGUGUCGCCCGUCCGUCCGUCCUUGCCAUCUCAGAACCUUUCAAUACAACCACCCCCGAGAGGCCGAGACUAUUGCCAUCCAUCAUCGCACCAGCAGCGGCUCUUCCCCCAUUCCGCGUGGGGGGCUAGGGUUUCCAUCGCGCUCUCCCCGCCUCGCCCCUCGCCGUCGCCGGCCAGGGGCCCCCGAUCGGACCGGCGCCGGGGCCUCCUCGCCGCGGAGGGCUCCGGCCGGCUCGCGCUCGCCGGAUGCGGCCGGUUCCGAGUGUAGAGCAAUGGGGAAUGGAGCCAAGGCCGCUGAUGAUGUUAGGGAAGGGCAACUCAAGCUCAUGGAUCAAUGUCUUGCCGCCACAAGCCCGGCAGUUGUGCAUACUGCUCUUCUUUGGGGCUUGGCAAACCUAACCUGAGUCUCCUCAGGCCAAGACCCAGCGCAGCGACUCCUUGUAAGAGGAGGCAUUCGUCUGCACGUGCCCAUCAACAACUCCUGCAACUAUUCUCCACUAACACCGAUGACCUCGUCCAGGCACUAACCUGUCCUGGAUGAGCUAUGGUGAUACCUACCUACCGAAGUACUAUUAUAGCCAUCACUAAUCUUUCUUCCUUAGUUUCCCUCCGUCUUCACUGCGGUUAUUACCACUAAUAUUAUGUAAGGUUUAUUUUGGUUUGCUGUGAACCAAUUUGGAAAUUGGUGGAUCAUCGUGGUAGUACCAUUUCAUAGUGUUGGAUUCUAGAUGUCUGUACUGACUUCUGGUGCACGAAUGAAUGAAUGACCAGUUAUAUGAC